UACAAAUUAGUGGUAUUAAAGUAUAAAUGUUACUAGAGAGGACUUACUAAUAGUUAGUAAAUUAUAAGAGGACUUAUGUGCAAAUGUUGCAUUAUUAAUUUGAUAAGAUCAAAUUAAUAUAAAAUUCAAGUCGAAUCAAAUUAGGAUUUGAUCGAUCUAACUAAUUAAGGAAAAGAUAAAUUUAAAUCUAGAUUUAUACUUAUCCUUAAUUGACAUUAUAUUAUUAGGAAUAGGAUUAAUAUAUUCCUAUAUAUAAUAUACGGGAGUUUUUAGAAAACCCAUGCCGUCAUCUAUCCUCUCUUCUCUCUUCCAUCUUCUAGCAAGAAAGACGUCCUUUUGCAAGGGAGCUAGCACCCCGGUGAGGACAUCGAUCAAAUCAAGAACCUCGUGUGGAUACCUAUAGAGGCCGGACGCGUGUGCGGCUUCAAGAGAACCCGAUUCCACGAUCAUCAAAUUGAGGCAAGAAUUUAUCCGUGAAAAAGGUAAAGAUUCGAUCUUACUUUUCUCCUUUAAUCUUAAAGAACAUGAGGGAUCCUAAUUGCGUGGUUUUGAGAUUAGAUCUCGAGAGUUUUCAAAAUCAAAUUUGUUUGAUUUCUUUUUCCGCUGCGUUUUACCGUACGCAAUUUUCUAACAGUGGUAUCAGAGCCAUCCUCAUGUUUUUAAGAUUGAAAUUAUGAUUUUUGGGUAUUCUAAACCGUUUUUUGCCGAGAAAACGAUUUAUAGAUCGUUUUUGGAAAAUUCGAAAAGAUCAAAGUGAUUAACAAUAUAAUCGAUGGUUUCUUUUUUCAAAAAAAAAAAAAAAAGGUUACUGUAGCGAUUUUACUAUAGCAUCCCUUACGGAUGCUACUGUAGCAUCCGUACGGACGGAAUUUUUUUUAAUUUUUAAUUUUUUUUUUAAAAAAAGGGUUGAUUAGAUUGAAAAUAAAAUAUAAUGAAAAAGAUCUAAUUUGAUUAGAUCAAAUUUAUUUCUUGAUGAGAUUAAGAUGUUUUUUUUUUUUGUAGAUUAAAUUGUUGAUCAAAAUUAUAAUAAUCAAUAAGAUUGAUUAUUUUUAAUAAUUUAUUCUUUCGAAUCAUCGGUUAACGGUUAAUUAGAAUAUCCAAAAUUUAUUAUUAUGCAUGUGAUGUAUGAGAUACGGUGAUGAUCAUGGAUAGCAACCUAUUUAUUUUUGUUUCGACAUGUGAUGUAUGAUGUGUAUGCAGAAUCCUGUAAUUUUAAAUUUGUUUAAAUUAAGGACUUUGUAUUAGAGAUGGCUAUUUUUGUGCCUGCGUGCACAAGCCGAUUUAUUUGGAUACCUGUGUGUCUCAAUAGGUUAGAGAUAAAAGUUAUCAAAUGUAAUUAAUUUUUAUUUCAUUUUUAUUAUUGGGUUGUAUAAUGUAUGGUUGCACGUCAUUGGUUAAUCGGUUGCAAGCCUAAAAGUUCGC
RNAcentral lists this long non-coding RNA (1422 nucleotides) under Ananas comosus (pineapple). Its description in RNAcentral is "long non-coding RNA (ACOM_LNC038898)". The record is from RNAcentral. Lineage: Eukaryota; Viridiplantae; Streptophyta; Magnoliopsida; Poales; Bromeliaceae.